GAAGACCUAGUGGCGAACGGGUGAGGAACACGUGAGGAACCUGCCCCGAACUUUGGGAUAACAGUUGGAAACGACUGCUAAUACCGAAUGCCGUUACGAAGUGGCAUCACUUUGUAACGAAAGAAUUUCGGUUCGGGAGGGCCUCGCGGCCUAUCAGCUAGUUGGUGGGGUAACGGCCUACCAAGGCAUCGACGGGUAGCUGGUCUGAGAGGAUGAUCAGCCACACUGGGACUGAGACACGGCCCAGACUCCUACGGGAGGCAGCAGUGGGGAAUCUUGUGCAAUGGGCGAAAGCCUGACACAGCCACGCCGCGUGCGGGAAGAAGGCCUUCGGGUUGUAAACCGCUUUCAGCAGGAACGAAAAUAACGGUACCUGCAGAAGAAGAUGCGGCCAACUACGUGCCAGCAGCCGCGGUGAUACGUAGGCAUCAAGCGUUGUCCGGAUUUAUUGGGCGUAAAGAGCUCGUAGGCGGUUCAGCAAGUCGGGUGUGAAAACUCUGGGCUUAACCCAGAGCCUGCACUCGAAACUGCUGUGACUAGAGUUCGGUAGGGGAGCAGGGAAUUCCUAGUGUAGCGGUGAAAUGCGCAGAUAUUAGGAGGAACACCAAUGGCGAAGGCACUGCUCUGGGCCGAUACUGACGCUGAGGAGCGAGAGCGUGGGUAGCAAACAGGAUUAGAUACCCUGGUAGUCCACGCCGUANACGAUGGGCACUAGGUGUGGGUCUCUAACCAACGAGAUCUGCGCCGUCGCUAACGCAUUAAGUGCCCCGCC
Molecule: ribosomal RNA, 772 nt
Filed under: uncultured bacterium
Lineage: Bacteria
Description: bacterial SSU rRNA
Rfam family: Bacterial small subunit ribosomal RNA
Source: RNAcentral